GGGCCCGUAGCCCAGCCAGGAUUAGGGCGUUGAAGUUAAUGCGUAGGCCUCCGGAGCCGAAGGUCGUGGGUUCGAAUCCCACCGGGCCCG
This 90-nucleotide transfer RNA is filed under the name Candidatus Bathyarchaeota archaeon. Its description in RNAcentral is "tRNA-Arg". It matches the Rfam family "tRNA". From Rfam's summary of the family: Transfer RNA (tRNA) molecules are approximately 80 nucleotides in length. Their secondary structure includes four short double-helical elements and three loops (D, anti-codon, and T loops). RNAcentral also lists the same sequence under 1 other name. Lineage: Archaea; Thermoproteati; Candidatus Bathyarchaeota. The record is from RNAcentral.